GAUGAACGCUGGCGGCGUGCUUAACACAUGCAAGUCGAACGGUAAGGCCCUUCGGGGUACACGAGUGGCGAACGGGUGAGUAACACGUGGGUGAUCUGCCCUGCACUUCGGGAUAAGCCUGGGAAACUGGGUCUAAUACCGGAUAGGACCACUGCCUGCAUGGGUGGUGGUGGAAAGCUUUUGCGGUGUGGGAUGGGCCCGCGGCCUAUCAGCUUGUUGGUGGGGUGAUGGCCUACCAAGGCGACGACGGGUAGCCGGCCUGAGAGGGUGACCGGCCACACUGGGACUGAGAUACGGCCCAGACUCCUACGGGAGGCAGCAGUGGGGAAUAUUGCACAAUGGGCGCAAGCCUGAUGCAGCGACGCCGCGUGAGGGAUGACGGCCUUCGGGUUGUAAACCUCUUUCAGCACCGACGAAGCGCAAGUGACGGUAGGUGCAGAAGAAGGACCGGCCAACUACGUGCCAGCCGCCGCGGUAA
This 478-nucleotide ribosomal RNA is filed under the name uncultured bacterium. Its description in RNAcentral is "partial 16S ribosomal RNA". It matches the Rfam family "Bacterial small subunit ribosomal RNA", at positions 28 to 523 of the family's 1533-position model. The record is from RNAcentral.